RNAcentral lists this ribosomal RNA (253 nucleotides) under uncultured bacterium. RNAcentral describes it as "partial 16S ribosomal RNA". It matches the Rfam family "Bacterial small subunit ribosomal RNA", at positions 524 to 776 of the family's 1533-position model. The record is from RNAcentral.
UACGUAGGGUGCGAGCGUUGUCCGGAUUUAUUGGGCGUAAAGAGCUCGUAGGCGGCCUGUCGCGUCGGAUGUGAAAGCCCGAGGCUUAACCUCGGGUCUGCAUUCGAUACGGGCUAGCUAGAGUGUGGUAGGGGAGAUCGGAAUUCCUGGUGUAGCGGUGAAAUGCGCAGAUAUCAGGAGGAACACCGGUGGCGAAGGCAGCUCUCUGGGACGGUACUGACGCUGAGACGCGAAAGCGUGGGGAGCGAACAGG